Molecule: transfer RNA, 71 nt
Filed under: Coccocarpia palmicola
Lineage: Eukaryota; Fungi; Ascomycota; Lecanoromycetes; Peltigerales; Coccocarpiaceae
Description: tRNA-Gly
Rfam family: tRNA
About the family: Transfer RNA (tRNA) molecules are approximately 80 nucleotides in length. Their secondary structure includes four short double-helical elements and three loops (D, anti-codon, and T loops).
Source: RNAcentral
ACGGCCAUAAGUUAAUGGUAGACUCGUCGUCUUCCAAACGAAUUAUGUCGGUUCAAAUCCGACUGGCCGUA